AUGCUCCCUUAGAAGCAUAUAUAUUAAAACCAGAACAGUACAGAGAUUAGCAUGUUUCCUGCAUAAGGAUAUUAGGCAAACUCAUUAGGCAUUCCAUAUUUUU
Jaculus jaculus (lesser Egyptian jerboa) is the source of this 103-nucleotide small nuclear RNA. NCBI's taxonomy places the organism in Eukaryota, Metazoa, Chordata, Mammalia, Rodentia, Dipodidae. The record is from Ensembl.